Molecule: unclassified non-coding RNA, 249 nt
Filed under: Hevea brasiliensis (rubber tree)
Lineage: Eukaryota; Viridiplantae; Streptophyta; Magnoliopsida; Malpighiales; Euphorbiaceae
Source: RNAcentral
AUUUGACUUGGCUCGAGAACUUGAAGGACUUGUUGAUAUGUUCUCUGUCCAGUGCAUUAAUCACAAUGUUGAGACAGUUCUAGAUCUCUCUGAUGAUAUGCCAAAAUUAGUUAAAGGAGACUCAGCCAGAGUCGUUCAAAUUUUCGCAAAUCUGAUUAGCAAUUCCCUCAAGUUCACAACCUCUGGCUACAUCAUUCUUCGCGGAUGGUGUGGAAGUGCUCGCGGAGGGAAUUUUCCACUUAAUCAGAA